Molecule: microRNA, 23 nt
Filed under: Monodelphis domestica (gray short-tailed opossum)
Lineage: Eukaryota; Metazoa; Chordata; Mammalia; Didelphimorphia; Didelphidae
Description: Mdo-Mir-7373-P20-v2_5p* (star (passenger))
Source: RNAcentral
AAGCCCUUUUAUUAAUCAUCUGC